GGGGAGGUAGCUCCGUGGUAGAGUAUGUGCUUAGCAUGUGCAAGGGCCUGGGUUCAAUCCUCAGCACCACCA
This 72-nucleotide transfer RNA is filed under the name Ictidomys tridecemlineatus (thirteen-lined ground squirrel). Its description in RNAcentral is "Spermophilus tridecemlineatus (thirteen-lined ground squirrel) tRNA". It matches the Rfam family "tRNA". Rfam says of the family: Transfer RNA (tRNA) molecules are approximately 80 nucleotides in length. Their secondary structure includes four short double-helical elements and three loops (D, anti-codon, and T loops). Further hydrogen bonds mediate the characteristic L-shaped molecular structure. tRNAs have two regions of fundamental functional importance: the anti-codon, which is responsible for specific mRNA codon recognition, and the 3' end, to which the tRNAs corresponding amino acid is attached (by aminoacyl-tRNA synthetases). tRNAs cope with the degeneracy of the genetic code in two manners: having more than one tRNA (with a specific anti-codon) for a particular amino acid; and 'wobble' base-pairing, i.e. permitting non-standard base-pairing at the 3rd anti-codon position. The record is from Rfam by way of RNAcentral. Lineage: Eukaryota; Metazoa; Chordata; Mammalia; Rodentia; Sciuridae.